RNAcentral lists this unclassified non-coding RNA (355 nucleotides) under uncultured fungus. Its description in RNAcentral is "partial internal transcribed spacer 2". Lineage: Eukaryota; Fungi. The record is from RNAcentral.
AACGCAUAUUGCACCCACGUGGGAAACCACAGGGUAUACUUGCCUGAGAAUAUGUAUAUUUGAUUAGCCGACCGGAGGAAAGUCUUUUUUCCUUUCGUUUUGGUUAGUAUUGAGGAGUUCGAAAUUUUUUUUUUUUAAAAAAAAAAUCUUCGUUCCUUUAAAGUAAUAUAGAAAAGGAAAAGAAAAAAAGAAAAAAUUACAAAGAAGCAUUAUUGAUUACUCCAUUAUUGAUGGGAUAUUUUUAUGCGAUCUUGAAUGUAGUUUUCUUCAUAUUUUUUUUCUUAACACCAAUUCCUUUUUUUCUUUAAAUAAUCUUCAUAAUCUCAGUUUAAGUAAGACUACCCGCUGAACUUAA